This 94-nucleotide microRNA precursor is filed under the name Marmota monax (woodchuck). Lineage: Eukaryota; Metazoa; Chordata; Mammalia; Rodentia; Sciuridae. The record is from RNAcentral.
AGUGGAAUUGUUGGCUCAUAUGGUUAAUCAAAACUUAACUUUUGCUAAGCUAUUUUCCUAAGUGGUUGCACCAUUUUGAAAUCCUAUCAGUAAU